ACCCUGCAGCACUGAGGGGGAAACCUGGUCCAGCCUGGAGCAUCCCGUCUAUCUAUUUUUCCCACUUGAACAACAAUCUGGAGGAGCUGUUACCUGCUUAAUUAUCUGGAACGCGUUUGCAGCGGGGAAAUUCAGCAGGGAGAAAUUUGCUGUCUUCACUGGAGAAACAGAGAUCCGCAACUUCUCCAAAGAGAUGCCUUAGCAGGUAGAGCCAGCUCUUAUGUCAGUCACAGCAGGUACGUCACCAGACCCUUGGAGGACAGCCAUUACCAAGCCGUGACUGCUGUGUCUGGUCUCUGUUAAAAGCCAUAAACAUGAAACCCAAAUCUUUGAUUGUGCAAAGCUGCAGUGCAGAUCCGUGACUCACCACUGUCACAAAACUACAGCACUGCAGUUCCCCAUGGCAGCAGCACGUGGCUUCCUGCACCCCAAAGGCAGCACCAAAUGACAGGGGAAAGAGGCAAAGGUGCCAUCAGUGCUGUUGACUUACACAGGAGAUGACAUCAGUUGUCCAUAAAGCUCUCAGCACACUGCCCUCGAGGGAAUGGAAACGGGGGAGGUUGUAUUUGACUCUUCUAGCAUGACUCAACGUGGCCCACCUUACGGGAUCUCUGGAGCGAGUUUGCAUGGUUGGAUGCAUCUGCUUGGCUGGGUGCACAUCUUCACAGGACACAUAUUGUUUCAUUGUGCUGCCAGUUGUGGCAGGUAACUGUGGAUGUUUUACUGCUGCCAACAUUGGAUCACUGGGCAAGGUGCCUCCUUCCCUCACCUUUUUUAUCUCUGGCCAAGCAGAUGCAAGCCAAGAGUCAGAAUAUGGUUUUUUUUUUUUCCUUUCUUUCUCCAGAUGCUUUGCACUCAGUUGGCUGUUUCCCUCAGCAGCCCUUCCUCUCCCAGAUCCGAGUGUAUGCCUACGUGCAGCUAUUCUAGCCUCACCUCAUCAAGGUCAGCAGUGGCCUGCAGAUAUAAUACAGGCGUUUGCCCCAUUUAGUUCAGAGUGGGUGGAGGGGGGAUUGGGUGAUUGAUCUGGCACAGGUGUAAUAGUGCUGAACAUCAGCAUAGCGUAUUUUUCCUUUUCCCCCACUCACAUGCACUUAAAUCCCUGCAAGGUUCAUAAUGUGGCUAAACUCGAAUGCAUUUUCACAGCUUUAGCCACAAAACACCAAGGCUAUUGCCUCCCCCCCUCUAUCGCCAGUUGCAUUUUGAGUCCCUGUGGCACAGCAGGGAGAUGCUGCAGCUGUUCAAAUAAACCAUUUCUGGAAACACUAAAACAAGCAGGCAAGAGGAAGGCAGGCUUUGGAAAUGGCCAAACCAUUUGGCUGCAAUUUUCCACUGAAUUUCAGCUGGAGGUAGUACCACCCCCUUCUCUUCCAGAAUAAAAGAUUUCUACCCUUACUGUUACAGACUGGUAAGGAGCUGGGGAUUUUUAUUUUAAGACUGUAUA
Athene cunicularia (burrowing owl) is the source of this 1441-nucleotide long non-coding RNA. RefSeq lists it as uncharacterized. NCBI's taxonomy places the organism in Eukaryota, Metazoa, Chordata, Aves, Strigiformes, Strigidae. The transcript has 3 exons. The record is from RefSeq and is a predicted model, not a curated record.